RNAcentral lists this ribosomal RNA (490 nucleotides) under uncultured bacterium. RNAcentral's name for it is "partial 16S ribosomal RNA". It matches the Rfam family "Bacterial small subunit ribosomal RNA", at positions 30 to 507 of the family's 1533-position model. The record is from RNAcentral.
AUUGAACGCUGGCGGCAGGCCUAACACAUGCAAGUCGAAUGGUAACAGGAAACAGCUUGCUGUUUCGCUGACGAGUGGCGGACGGGUGAGUAAUGUCUGGGAAACUGCCUGAUGGAGGGGGAUAACUACUGGAAACGGUAGCUAAUACCGCAUAACGUCGCAAGACCAAAGAGGGGGACCUUCGGGCCUCUUGCCACCAGAUGUGCCCAGAUGGGAUUAGCUAGUAGGUGGGGUAACGGCUCACCUAGGCGACGAUCCCUAGCUGGUCUGAGAGGAUGACCAGCCACACUGGAACUGAGACACGGUCCAGACCCCUACGGGAGGCAGCAGUGGGGAAUAUUGCACAAUGGGCGCAAGCCUGAUGCAGCCAUGCCGCGUGUAUGAAGAAGGCCUUCGGGUUGUAAAGUACUUUCAGCGGGGAGGAAGGGAGUAAAGUUAAUACCUUUGCUCAUUGACGUUACCCGCAGAAGAAGCACCGGCUAACUCCGUG